CUGAGUAAUGCAAAUCCUCAAGCAAUACUCUAGAUCCAAUGAAUGGAAAAAUAUGAGAGUGGAGUCCAGAAAUCUGCAUUUUAACAAACACUCCAGGUGAUUCUGAU
RNAcentral lists this microRNA precursor (107 nucleotides) under Ovis aries (sheep). RNAcentral's name for it is "miRNA (ENSOARG00000024425.1)". The record is from RNAcentral. Lineage: Eukaryota; Metazoa; Chordata; Mammalia; Artiodactyla; Bovidae.